RNAcentral lists this ribosomal RNA (403 nucleotides) under uncultured bacterium. Its description in RNAcentral is "bacterial SSU rRNA". It matches the Rfam family "Bacterial small subunit ribosomal RNA", at positions 355 to 775 of the family's 1533-position model. The record is from RNAcentral.
UGGGGAAUAUUGGACAAUGGGCGCAAGCCUGAUCCAGCCAUGCCGCGUGAAUGAUGAAGGCCUUAGGGUUGUAAAGUUCUUUUGUCAGGGAAGAUAAUGACGGUACCUGAAGAAUAAGCACCGGCUAACUUCGUGCCAGCAGCCGCGGUAAUACGAAGGGUGCUAGCGUUGUUCGGAAUUACUGGGCGUAAAGCGCGCGUAGGCGGUUUAACAAGUCAGAGGUGAAAGCCCUGGGCUCAACCCAGGAAUUGCCUUUGAAACUGUUAGACUUGAGUGUCGGAGGGGAUAGCGGAAUUGCUAAUGUAGAGGUGAAAUUCGUAGAUAUUAGCAGGAACACCGGUGGCGAAGGCGGCUAUCUGGACGACAACUGACGCUGAGGCGCGAAAGCACGGGGAUCAAACAG